This 285-nucleotide non-coding RNA is filed under the name Paenibacillus sp. Its description in RNAcentral is "T-box sequence". It matches the Rfam family "T-box leader". From Rfam's summary of the family: Uncharged tRNA acts as the effector for transcription antitermination of genes in the T-box leader family. T-boxes are found upstream of many aminoacyl-tRNA synthetase genes and some amino acid biosynthetic genes usually in Gram-positive bacteria. The record is from RNAcentral. Lineage: Bacteria; Bacillati; Bacillota; Bacilli; Caryophanales; Paenibacillaceae.
UAAAAGACUGGGAACGGGAAGAGUAGGCGGUCAGCCCUUCAGAGAGCGGAAUUGUUAGUGCUGUGAUUUUCCGCAGGAUGUUUGCCACCGAAGUCGCCCCGGAGUCGCCCUUCUGAACCUGCCGCCGUUCGUACGGCCUGCAGUGUAGGAUGCGGCCGGACGCAGCCGUUAUCUGCAUGAGUGUCGCGCUAAGCUCCGGGAACCGCAGGUGACCGGGCACAGGUGUAUUUGCUGCUAGCGCGAAACAAAGGUGGUACCGCGAAAGAAUGGCCUUUCGUCCUUUGA